GGUCCCGCCUGCCCAGUGACUCUUUAAACGGCCGCGGUAUCCUAACCGUGCAAAGGUAGCAUAAUCACUUGUCCUCUAAAUAAGGACUGGAAUGAAUGGCUAAAUGAGGACUAAACUGUCUCUUACAGCUCAGCCAAUGAAAUUGAUUUUUCAGUUCAAAAGCUGAAAUAAACUCACAAGACGAGAAGACCCUGUGGAGCUUUAAACCAGACCCACCUUAAUGUCCCCCUGUGUUUUUAGUUGGGGCGACUUCGGAGCAUAAAAAAACCUCCGAAACACACCACAUUUAAGAUCAACACAUCAAAAAUACUUAUAUGAGACCCAGCAACUAAUCUGUUGUCUGACCAAUGAACCAAGUUACCCCAGGGAUAACAGCGCCAUCCCCUUCUAGAGUCCUUAUCAACAAGGGGGUUUACGACCUCGAUGUUGGAUCAGGACACCCCAACGGUGCAGCCGCCAUUAAAGGUUCGUUUGUUCAACGAUUAAAGUCCUA
Molecule: ribosomal RNA, 493 nt
Filed under: Parvilacerta parva
Lineage: Eukaryota; Metazoa; Chordata; Lepidosauria; Squamata; Lacertidae
Description: partial 16S ribosomal RNA
Rfam family: Bacterial large subunit ribosomal RNA
Source: RNAcentral